Non-coding RNA from Cinara cedri, 671 nucleotides. The record is from the annotation of a GenBank genome assembly. Lineage: Eukaryota; Metazoa; Arthropoda; Insecta; Hemiptera; Aphididae.
UUUUUUUUUUUUUUUUUUUGUGUUUUGUUAUUUAUUUUGUAUUUAUUAUAUUUGGCAAACAUUGUUCUAGGGUUCAGUGAAUUAUAACAUAAUAUUAUUAAUGUUGUAUACCAUAUAAAUAUAUUUUGUAAUUUUCAUUUAAAUGUACUGGGUAAAAGAAGAAAGUGUAUGUAUUGUAAGAUAAGAAUGUCAUCACAUCAAUUUUUAUCAUUAAGUAAGGAAAUGUUGGAAAUAAUGCAGUUUUAACCUUUGAAUGGUGUUAUUUAUGAAAAUGCUUAUCAAUAAUAUAUAAUACUCUGACUGGUUUUCGAUAAAUUACAGAUUUUAGUUUGUAUUAUCUACUAAAAUGACUAUACCUAACUAAACUUUGUUAAAAAUUACUUGAAGUAACUACGAAUAAUAAUUGGACAUUAUAGUAGUACAAAUUUACUUGUGCGUGUUCUUUAAAACUCCGUAUUGAUAUGUAAUAUAAAUAUAACGUUAUUAAUUAUUAUAAAUAAUUUUUGUUACCUAUCUAUACAAUAUAUACAAUACAUACUAUCUCUACAAUACAAAUAACUAUCAAACUAAAUAACAAUUUUUAUGAUAAUAUGAUAACAAAUUUCAAAUGAUUUUCCAACAUUUCCAGUAUAUAAUUCUUAACAGUUAUGUACUGUCUCUGAACAAUGUCA